Molecule: unclassified non-coding RNA, 507 nt
Filed under: Hevea brasiliensis (rubber tree)
Lineage: Eukaryota; Viridiplantae; Streptophyta; Magnoliopsida; Malpighiales; Euphorbiaceae
Source: RNAcentral
GCCCAAAGCAAUGAAGGCCGGCGGCGCCCAGCUACACAGCCAGAUCACAACAAUUAACACUACUAGUUGUGACAAGUCAACAAAGAAAUCUAAAAAAUUGUGUGCCCCACUAACCUCUUUGUUACUUUCUCCAAAUCUCUCUCUUCUCCGAUCAUCUCCCAUCGGAAUCUACUGAAUCGUCGAUGGACGACUACUUGAAUUUAUUUGUAGAGGAGACGUCGUUUUUUAAUAGGAUUGUUCUGGGCACAUUCUUGCCGGAAUCAUGGUGGGGACCACUCCCUCAUUGGUUUCAAGGAUGGCUUCGCAACUACAUCGGUGGAGUCUUGCUCUACUUUAUCUCUGGGUUUCUUUGGUGCUUCUACAUCUACUACUUAAAACGCAAUGUUUAUCUACCUAAAGAUGCCAUCCCUUCAAAUAGAGCUAUGCUCUUGCAAAUAGGAGUUGCAAUGAAAGCUAUGCCAUGGUACUGUGCCCUUCCAUCACUUUCUGAGUACAUGAUUGAAAAUG